RNAcentral lists this ribosomal RNA (320 nucleotides) under uncultured Prevotella sp. Its description in RNAcentral is "partial 16S ribosomal RNA". Lineage: Bacteria; Pseudomonadati; Bacteroidota; Bacteroidia; Bacteroidales; Prevotellaceae. The record is from RNAcentral.
GGAGUCUGGUCCGUGUCUCAGUACCAGUGUGGGGGACCUUCCUCUCAGAACCCCUAACGAUCGUUGGCCAGGUGGGCCGUUACCCCGCCUGCUGCCUAAUCGUACGCAUCCCCAUCCUAUAGCGGUAAACCUUUGGUAUUCAUCUGAUGUCAUCAAAAUACAACAUAGGGUAUUAAUCCGCAUUUCUACGGGCUAUCCCCUACUAUAGGGAAGGUUGGAUACGCGUUACUCACCCGUGCGCCGGUCGCCAUCGGCCUUAGCAAGCUAAGACCAUGCUGCCCCUCGACUUGCAUGUGUUAAGCCUGUAGCUAGCGUUCAUC